This 97-nucleotide signal recognition particle RNA is filed under the name Anabaena sp. RNAcentral describes it as "signal recognition particle sRNA small type". It matches the Rfam family "Bacterial small signal recognition particle RNA". Rfam says of the family: The signal recognition particle (SRP) is a universally conserved ribonucleoprotein involved in the co-translational targeting of proteins to membranes. Archaeal SRP consists of a 7S RNA and homologues of the eukaryotic SRP19 and SRP54 proteins. Lineage: Bacteria; Bacillati; Cyanobacteriota; Cyanophyceae; Nostocales; Nostocaceae. RNAcentral also lists the same sequence under 1 other name. The record is from RNAcentral.
GGCUUGGAUCUAUGCGGCUGCAACGCCUAAAUCUUGUCAGGACCGGAAGGUAGCAGCAACACGGGAUGCUUGUAGUAGGCGUAGUCUCCGAGCCGCC